UACGUAGGGCGCAAGCGUUGUCCGGAAUUACUGGGCGUAAAGGGCUCGUAGGCGGCCAACUAAGUCAGACGUGAAAUCCCUCGGCUUAACCGGGGAACUGCGUCUGAUACUGGAUGGCUUGAAUCCGGGAGAGGGAUGCGGAAUUCCAGGUGUAGCGGUGAAAUGCGUAGAUAUCUGGAGGAACACCGGUGGCGAAGGCGGCAUCCUGGACCGGCAUUGACGCUGAGGAGCGAAAGCCAGGGGAGCAAACGGG
This 253-nucleotide ribosomal RNA is filed under the name uncultured bacterium. Its description in RNAcentral is "partial 16S ribosomal RNA". It matches the Rfam family "Bacterial small subunit ribosomal RNA", at positions 524 to 776 of the family's 1533-position model. The record is from RNAcentral.